UACGGGGGGGGCAAGCGUUGUUCGGAAUUACUGGGCGUAAAGGGCUCGUAGGCGGCCAACUAAGUCAGACGUGAAAUCCCUCGGCUUAACCGGGGAACUGCAUCUGAUACUGGAUGGCUCGAGUUUGGGAGAGGGAUGCGGAAUUCCAGGUGUAGCGGUGAAAUGCGUAGAUAUCGGGAGGAACACCAAUGGCGAAGGCAGCUCGCUGGGACGUGACUGACGCUGAGACGCGAAAGCGUGGGGAGCAAACAGG
Molecule: ribosomal RNA, 253 nt
Filed under: uncultured bacterium
Lineage: Bacteria
Description: partial 16S ribosomal RNA
Rfam family: Bacterial small subunit ribosomal RNA
Source: RNAcentral